GCGCCACUGCACCCCAGCCUGGGCAGCAGAGCAAGACACUCAGUCUCCCAAAAAAAAAAAAAAAAAAAGACUGAAAUACUCCCCCGCCUUCCUUCCCUUUUCCCCUUCAGAAACUACAGUGGUUUGCAGUUUCUGAUCCCUUAAGAGGCAGAAAAUAUUCCAUGGGGCUAACUGUGGCUUUCUUCCAUUGCCGCUGAAAGUCCCCCACAAGGCCGGAUAAACCCUGACUCAGGUCGAGGAGGUGGUGUUUGGUUUUAUUUCUCUCUCUCUCUCUCUCAACUUUUAUUUCUUGUUCAAGCAUACAUGUGCAAGAUUGUUAUAUAGGUAACUUCUGACUGGGGGUUCAGUGUGCGGAUUAUUUCAUCAACCGGGUACUCAGCGCAAUACCUGACAGUUUUUAUCUGAAACUGUCUCUCCUCCCACUCCUCCUCCCUCAAGUAGAGCCCCGUGUCUGUCGUCCCCCUUUCUCCCCAAGUGUUCUCAUUAUUUAGUUCCCACUUAUAGAUGAGAACACGAGGUAUUAAUUAUUUUUGGUUUCAUCUUCGGUGAUGGUGAUAAAAGAGGCAUGACCCUAAAUCGAGCCUUAGGACACUCCCCUCAGGCUGAGGCAGGAGAAUCACUUGAACCCAGGAGGCAGAGAUUGCAGUGUGCCAAGAUUACGGGACACUGCACUCUAGCCUGGGGGACAGAGCAAGACUCCGUCUCCAAAAAAAUGAAUUAAAAACAAACAAACAAAAAAAAAAGACUAGUGGGCCAGCCUAGCCAACAUGGCUAAACCCUGCUUGUCUCUACUAAAAAUGCAAAUAUCAGCCAGGCCUGGUGGCACACGCUGGGGAAGACCACUCAGGGAAGCCGAGGCAUGAGAAUCACUUGAGCCUGGGAGGCGGAGGUAGCAGCCAUCCUAAUUCGAGCCACCGCACUCC
This 923-nucleotide long non-coding RNA is filed under the name Homo sapiens (human). Its description in RNAcentral is "non-protein coding lnc-ALG10B-6:1". Lineage: Eukaryota; Metazoa; Chordata; Mammalia; Primates; Hominidae. The record is from RNAcentral.